UACGUAGGGUGCGAGCGUUAAUCGGAAUUACUGGGCGUAAAGCGUGCGCAGGCGGUUUGUUAAGUCAGAUGUGAAAGCCCCGGGCUUAACCUGGGAAUUGCGUUUGAUACUGGCAAGCUAGAGUCUGUCAGAGGGGGGUAGAAUUCCACGUGUAGCAGUGAAAUGCGUAGAGAUGUGGAGGAAUACCGAUGGCGAAGGCAGCCCCCUGGGAUAAGACUGACGCUCAGGCACGAAAGCGUGGGGAG
RNAcentral lists this ribosomal RNA (245 nucleotides) under uncultured bacterium. Its description in RNAcentral is "partial 16S ribosomal RNA". It matches the Rfam family "Bacterial small subunit ribosomal RNA", at positions 524 to 768 of the family's 1533-position model. The record is from RNAcentral.